This is a long non-coding RNA of Drosophila montana, 1269 nucleotides long. RefSeq lists it as uncharacterized. The transcript is spliced from 2 exons. Lineage: Eukaryota; Metazoa; Arthropoda; Insecta; Diptera; Drosophilidae. The record is from RefSeq and is a predicted model, not a curated record.
AGCAACAGCAACAAAAUGUAUAGCAAUAAGCCCACAUACACACAUUAUUACACACACACACACACACACACAUGCACCAUGGAUGGAGAAGCGUAAGCGAAGCAAACGUAAGGAUUAAUGCAUAAUGCAAAACUUAACUCUAAGCAGCAGUAUAAAUAUAGCUAAACUAAUAAAUUUCUAAAUGAAUAAUAAAUUUAGUGAGCGUUUCAUGUACAUUUUUACGUAACUCUCCCCUAUCCAAAAACAAACAAAAAAUCGCAAAAUAAAAAUUUAAAUUUAAAAUCUUCGAGAUUCAUGCGAAAAGAGUUUAAAGUUUGAAAAGACAUUUUAAAAUCGAUUUUUUAUAUACCUUACUAAACAUAUUCGUCAGCAGCUUUUAAAAACUAUAUACGUGUAUAAAAGUUAUCUACUAAUUUAGUUGGUAUAACCAACCACCAUGCCAAUACCAGCCCAAUAUAUUCGACAGUUUCUUUAUUUAUGCACAUUUUUUUGUCCUUUUUCUUGUAUUGAAAAUUUACUGCUAACUUAUGUGAGAGAGUCCAUUAACUAAUAUAAGCGUAUGCAUGGAGUCAAAAGAGCAAAACGAACGCGUAUGAAGAAAGAAUUGUACAUAAAUUUUUGUUCUUAUGUAUGGAAAAAAGAAAUAUAAAUAAAACGUAUAUGAGCGUUAAAAUGUACAGUGUACGUGGCGUUUGUCAAAUUUACUCUAUAGAAUUUUUCGGUAUGCCUAAGGGGAUUUCUAUUGUCAGAUUUAUUAAAAACAAAUCAAAUUUACGUGAACUUAGUUUUAACGUAGAGAAAGUCUAAUCUUAAUUAGAUCCGAAAUUAAAUGUUAUUCGUUAUACAGCACGCCAACUAUCGCCUGGCCAGGCCGAACGAAGCUGCGCAAAUAGAAAUGACUUGCUUUUAGAUUUUCAAAAUAAAUAUGCUAAGUUCUUGGGUAAACACAGACACUGAGGCCGCGACGGGGACAGAGACAGGGGCGCCGAUUCCAGUUAAGACUUUGAUGCCGAUCCGAUCCGAUUCGAUCGGAAUCGAUUCGAUUCGAUCUGACGCACUGAUAAGGCCAAGCCAAAGAGUCGGAGAGCGCAGCAGCAGCUUGCGGCGCUCAAAUGGAGCAGCCCCUCGAAAAAAAGAAACAAGGCUGUAGUGAAAAGUAUUCGCUUGGCAAAUACCCUACAAACUUUACGGCAUACCAAAUCGUACAUAAUUCAAAUGCACCAUAUUUGAGGAAAAAGUUAGAUGCUUUGAGAAUUUGAAGAAUUUCUA